RNAcentral lists this ribosomal RNA (444 nucleotides) under uncultured bacterium. RNAcentral describes it as "bacterial SSU rRNA". It matches the Rfam family "Bacterial small subunit ribosomal RNA", at positions 354 to 796 of the family's 1533-position model. The record is from RNAcentral.
GUAGGGAAUAUUGGGCAAUGGUCGGAAGACUGACCCAGCCAUGCCGCGUGCAGGAAGACGGCCCUCUGGGUUGUAAACUGCUUUUAUCUGGGAAGAAAAAGGCCAUGCGUGGCAAAUUGCCGGUACCAGAUGAAUAAGCACCGGCUAACUCCGUGCCAGCAGCCGCGGUAAUACGGAGGGUGCGAGCGUUGUCCGGAUUUAUUGGGUUUAAAGGGUGCGUAGGCGGCUGAUUAAGUCAGCGGUGAAAGACUUCGGCUUAACCGGAGCAGUGCCGUUGAUACUGGUUGGCUUGAGUGUCGGAGGGGUACAUGGAAUUGAUGGUGUAGCGGUGAAAUGCAUAGAUACCAUCAGGAACACCGAUAGCGAAGGCAUUGUACUGGCCGACAACUGACGCUGAUGCACGAAAGUGUGGGGAUCGAACAGGAUUAGAAACCCCGGUAGUCC